This 254-nucleotide ribosomal RNA is filed under the name uncultured prokaryote. Its description in RNAcentral is "partial 16S ribosomal RNA". It matches the Rfam family "Bacterial small subunit ribosomal RNA", at positions 524 to 776 of the family's 1533-position model. The record is from RNAcentral.
UACGUAGGGGGCGAGCGUUGUCCGAAGUUACUGGGCGUAAAGCGCGCGUAGGCGGUCUAUUAAGUCUGAGGUGAAAGGUUCAGCGCUCAACGCGAACAGUGCCUUGGAUACUGGUAGACUUGAGUGUGGCAGAGGAGUAUGGAAUUCCUGGUGUAGCGGUGAAGUGCGUAGAUAUCAGGAGGAAUACCGAUGGCGAAGGCAGUACUCUGGGCUAACACUGACGCUCAGGUGCGAAAGCUAGGGGAGCGAACAGG